This 1343-nucleotide ribosomal RNA is filed under the name uncultured bacterium. RNAcentral's name for it is "16S ribosomal RNA". It matches the Rfam family "Bacterial small subunit ribosomal RNA", at positions 28 to 1378 of the family's 1533-position model. The record is from RNAcentral.
GACGAACGCUGGCGGCGUGCUUAACACAUGCAAGUCGAACGGAAAGGCCCUGCUUUUGUGGGGUGCUCGAGUGGCGAACGGGUGAGUAACACGUGAGUAACCUGCCCUUGACUUUGGGAUAACUUCAGGAAACUGGGGCUAAUACCGGAUAGGAGCUCCUGCUGCAUGGUGGGGGUUGGAAAGUUUCGGCGGUUGGGGAUGGACUCGCGGCUUAUCAGCUUGUUGGUGGGGUAGUGGCUUACCAAGGCUUUGACGGGUAGCCGGCCUGAGAGGGUGACCGGCCACAUUGGGACUGAGAUACGGCCCAGACUCCUACGGGAGGCAGCAGUGGGGAAUAUUGCACAAUGGGCGGAAGCCUGAUGCAGCAACGCCGCGUGCGGGAUGACGGCCUUCGGGUCGUAAACCGCUUUCGCCUGUGACGAAGCGUGAGUGACGGUAAUGGGUAAAGAAGCACCGGCUAACUACGUGCCAGCAGCCGCGGUGAUACGUAGGGUGCGAGCGUUGUCCGGAUUUAUUGGGCGUAAAGGGCUCGUAGGUGGUUGAUCGCGUCGGAAGUGUAAUCUUGGGGCUUAACCCUGAGCGUGCUUUCGAUACGGGUUGACUUGAGGAAGGUAGGGGAGAAUGGAAUUCCUGGUGGAGCGGUGGAAUGCGCAGAUAUCAGGAGGAACACCAGUGGCGAAGGCGGUUCUCUGGGCCUUUCCUGACGCUGAGGAGCGAAAGCGUGGGGAGCGAACAGGCUUAGAUACCCUGGUAGUCCACGCUGUAAACGGUGGGUACUAGGUGUGGGGUCCAUUCCACGGGUUCCGUGCCGUAGCUAACGCUUUAAGUACCCCGCCUGGGGAGUACGGCCGCAAGGCUCAAACUCAAAGGAAUUGACGGGGCCCCGCACAAGCGGCGGAGCAUGCGGAUUAAUUCGAUGCAACGCGUAGAACCUUACCUGGGUUUGACAUGGAUCGGGAGUGCUCAGAGAUGGGUGUGCCUCUUUUGGGGUCGGUUCACAGGUGGUGCAUGGCUGUCGUCAGCUCGUGUCGUGAGAUGUUGGGUUAAGUCCCGCAACGAGCGCAACCCUUGUUCACUGUUGCCAGCACGUUAUGGUGGGGACUCAGUGGAGACCGCCGGGGUCAACUCGGAGGAAGGUGGGGAUGACGUCAGGUCAUCAUGCCCCUUAUGUCCAGGGCUUCACGCAUGCUACAAUGGCUGGUACAGAGAGUGGCGAGCCUGUGAGGGUGAGCGAAUCUCGGAAAGCCGGUCUCAGUUCGGAUUGGGGUCUGCAACUCGACCUCAUGAAGUCGGAGUCGCUAGUAAUCGCAGAUCAGCAACGCUGCGGUGAAUAAGUUCCCGGG